This 510-nucleotide unclassified non-coding RNA is filed under the name uncultured Glomus. RNAcentral describes it as "SSU rRNA". It matches the Rfam family "Eukaryotic small subunit ribosomal RNA", at positions 569 to 1082 of the family's 1831-position model. Lineage: Eukaryota; Fungi; Glomeromycota; Glomeromycetes; Glomerales; Glomeraceae. The record is from RNAcentral.
AGCAGCCGCGGUAAUUCCAGCUCCAAUAGCGUAUAUUAAAGUUGUUGCAGUUAAAAAGCUCGUAGUUGAAUUUCGGGAUCAAGGAAUCGGUCAUGCCUCGGUAUGUACUGGUUUUAUUGGUUCUCACCUUCUAAAGAACCAUGAUGUCAUUCAUUUGAUGUUAUGGGAAAUUAGGACUGUUACCUUGAAAAAUUAGAGUGUUUAAAGCAGGCUUACGCUUGAAUACAUUAGCAUGGAAUAAUGAAAUAGGACAUCAGAUUCUAUUUUGUUGGUUUCUAGGAUCGAUGUAAUGAUUAAUAGGGAUAGUUGGGGGCAUUAGUAUUCAAUUGUCAGAGGUGAAAUUCUUGGAUUUAUUGAAGACUAACUACUGCGAAAGCAUUUGCCAAGGAUGUUUUCAUUAAUCAAGAACGAAAGUUAGGGGAUCGAAGACGAUCAGAUACCGUCGUAGUCUUAACCAUAAACCUAUGCCGACUAGGGAUCGGAUGAUGUUUAUUUUUAGUGACUCAUUCC